CAAGGCUAAAUACUCCUGACUGACCGAUAGUGAACCAGUACCGUGAGGGAAAGGCGAAAAGAACCCCGGCGAGGGGAGUGAAAAAGAACCUGAAACCGUGUACGUACAAGCAGUGGGAGCACCUUCGUGGUGUGACUGCGUACCUUUUGUAUAAUGGGUCAGCGACUUAUAUUCUGUAGCAAGGUUAACCGUAUAGGGGAGCCGCAGGGAAACCGAGUCUUAACUGGGCGUUAAGUUGCAGGGUAUAGACCCGA
RNAcentral lists this ribosomal RNA (254 nucleotides) under Klebsiella quasipneumoniae subsp. similipneumoniae. RNAcentral's name for it is "partial 23S ribosomal RNA". It matches the Rfam family "Bacterial large subunit ribosomal RNA", at positions 461 to 718 of the family's 2925-position model. Lineage: Bacteria; Pseudomonadati; Pseudomonadota; Gammaproteobacteria; Enterobacterales; Enterobacteriaceae. RNAcentral also lists the same sequence under 1 other name. The record is from RNAcentral.